CGCGGCCUAUCAGCUUGUUGGUGGGGUGAUGGCCUACCAAGGCGUUGACGGGUAGCCGGCCUGAGAGGGCGGUCGGUCACAUUGGGACUGAGAUACGGCCCAGACUCCUACGGGAGGCAGCGGUGGGGAAUUUUGCACAAUGGGCGCAAGCCUGAUGCAGCGACGCCGCGUGAGGGAUGACGGCUUUCGGGUUGUAAACCUCUUUUAUCCACCACGAAGGCUCCGUAUUCGCGGGGUUGACGGUAGUGGUUGAAUAAGCGCCGGCUAACUACGUGCCAGCAGCCGCGGUAAGACGUAGGGCGCGAGCGUUGUCCGGAUUUAUUGGGCGUAAAGAGCUCGUAGGCGGUUUGUCGCGUCUGGUGUGAAAUCCCGAGGCUCAACCUCGGGCUUGCAUCGGGUACGGGCAGACUAGAGUACUGUAGGGGAGACUGGAAUUCCUGCGCGGCCUAUCAGCUUGUUGGUGGGGUAACGGCCCACCAAGGCGACGACGGGUAGCCGGCCUGAGAGGGCGACCGGCCACACUGGGACUGAGACACGGCCCAGACUCCUACGGGAGGCAGCAGUGGGGAAUAUUGCGCAAUGGGCGAAAGCCUGACGCAGCGACGCCGCGUGGGGGAUGACGGCCUUCGGGUUGUAAACCUCUUUCAGCAGGGACGAAGGUGACGUGUACCUGCAGAAGAAGCGCCGG
Molecule: ribosomal RNA, 688 nt
Filed under: uncultured Actinomycetes bacterium
Lineage: Bacteria; Bacillati; Actinomycetota; Actinomycetes
Description: bacterial SSU rRNA
Rfam family: Bacterial small subunit ribosomal RNA (bases 1-460)
Source: RNAcentral